CCCCGAGGAGAAGAAAUCAACCGAGAUUCCGGUAGUAGCGGCGAGCGAACCUGGAUUAGCCCUUAAGCACUCGGUGAAGUAGGUGAACAAGCUGGAAAGCUUGGCGAUACAGGGUGAUAGCCCCGUAACCGACGCUUCAUCGAGCGUGAAAUCGAGUAGGGCGGGACACGUGAUAUCCUGUCUGAAUAUGGGGGGACCAUCCUCCAAGGCUAAAUACUCCUGACUGACCGAUAGUGAACCAGUACCGUGAGGGAAAGGCGAAAAGAACCCCUGUGAGGGGAGUGAAAUAGAACCUGAAACCGUGUACGUACAAGCAGUAGGAGCACCUUCGUGGUGUGACUGCGUACCUUUUGUAUAAUGGGUCAGCGACUUAUAUUCAGUGGCAAGGUUAACCGUAUAGGGGAGCCGUAGCGAAAGCGAGUCUUAACUGGGCGCUCAGUCUCUGGAUAUAGACCCGAAACCGGGUGAUCUAGCCAUGGGCAGGUUGAAGGUUGAGUAACAUCAACUGGAGGACCGAACCGACUAAUGUUGAAAAAUUAGCGGAUGACUUGUGGCUAGGGGUGAAAGGCCAAUCAAACUCGGAGAUAGCUGGUUCUCCCCGAAAGCUAUUUAGGUAGCGCCUCGGACGAAUACUACUGGGGGUAGAGCACUGUUAAGGCUAGGGGGUCAUCCCGACUUACCAACCCUUUGCAAACUCCGAAUACCAGUAAGUACUAUCCGGGAGACACACGGCGGGUGCUAACGUCCGUCGUGGAGAGGGAAACAACCCAGACCGCCAGCUAAGGUCCCAAAGUAUUGCUAAGUGGGAAACGAUGUGGGAAGGCUCAGACAGCUAGGAUGUUGGCUUAGAAGCAGCCAUCAUUUAAAGAAAGCGUAAUAGCUCACUAGUCGAGUCGGCCUGCGCGGAAGAUGUAACGGGGCUAAGCAAUACACCGAAGCUGCGGCAAUGUCUUUUAGACAUUGGGUAGGGGAGCGUUCUGUAAGCCGUUGAAGGUGAAUCGUAAGGUUUGCUGGAGGUAUCAGAAGUGCGAAUGCUGACAUGAGUAACGACAAAGGGGGUGAAAAACCUCCUCGCCGGAAGACCAAGGGUUCCUGUCCAACGUUAAUCGGGGCAGGGUGAGUCGACCCCUAAGGUGAGGCCGAAAGGCGUAAUCGAUGGGAAACGGGUUAAUAUUCCCGUACUUCUGACUAUUGCGAUGGGGGGACGGAGAAGGCUAGGUGGGCCAGGCGACGGUUGUCCUGGUUCAAGUGCGUAGGCUUGAGAGUUAGGUAAAUCCGGCUCUCUCUAAGGCUGAGACACGACGUCGAGCUACUACGGUAGUGAAGUCAUUGAUGCCAUGCUUCCAGGAAAAGCCUCUAAGCUUCAGAUAGUCAGGAAUCGUACCCCAAACCGACACAGGUGGUCGGGUAGAGAAUACCAAGGCGCUUGAGAGAACUCGGGUGAAGGAACUAGGCAAAAUGGUACCGUAACUUCGGGAGAAGGUACGCUCUUGAUGGUGAAGUCCCUCGCGGAUGGAGCUGACGAGAGUCGCAGAUACCAGGUGGCUGCAACUGUUUAUUAAAAACACAGCACUGUGCAAAAUCGCAAGAUGACGUAUACGGUGUGACGCCUGCCCGGUGCCGGAAGGUUAAUUGAUGGGGUUAGCGCAAGCGAAGCUCUUGAUCGAAGCCCCGGUAAACGGCGGCCGUAACUAUAACGGUCCUAAGGUAGCGAAAUUCCUUGUCGGGUAAGUUCCGACCUGCACGAAUGGCGUAAUGAUGGCCACGCUGUCUCCACCCGAGACUCAGUGAAAUUGAAAUCGCUGUGAAGAUGCAGUGUACCCGCGGCUAGACGGAAAGACCCCGUGAACCUUUACUACAGCUUGGCACUGAACAUUGAACCUACAUGUGUAGGAUAGGUGGGAGGCUAUGAAGACGUGACGCCAGUUGCGUUGGAGCCGUCCUUGAAAUACCACCCUUGUAUGUUUGAUGUUCUAACUUAGACCCAUUAUC
This 1992-nucleotide ribosomal RNA is filed under the name Vibrio cholerae. Its description in RNAcentral is "partial 23S ribosomal RNA". It matches the Rfam family "Bacterial large subunit ribosomal RNA", at positions 209 to 2240 of the family's 2925-position model. Lineage: Bacteria; Pseudomonadati; Pseudomonadota; Gammaproteobacteria; Vibrionales; Vibrionaceae. The record is from RNAcentral.